RNAcentral lists this ribosomal RNA (372 nucleotides) under uncultured organism. RNAcentral's name for it is "bacterial SSU rRNA". It matches the Rfam family "Bacterial small subunit ribosomal RNA", at positions 526 to 896 of the family's 1533-position model. The record is from RNAcentral.
CGUAGGGGGCAAGCGUUGUCCGGAUUUAUUGGGCGUAAAGAGCGUGUAGGCGGCCAGGUAGGUGGGUUGUGAAAACUGGAGGCUCAACCUUCAGACGUCGACCCAAACCCCCUGGCUAGAGUCCGGAAGAGGAGAGUGGAAUUCCUGGUGUAGCGGUGAAAUGCGCAGAUAUCAGGAAGAACACCCGUGGCGAAGGCGGCUCUCUGGGACGGUACUGACGCUGAGACGCGAAAGCGUGGGGAGCGAACAGGAUUAGAUACCCUGGUAGUCCACGCCGUAAACGAUGGGUGCUAGGUGUGGGGGGUGUCGACUCCCUCCGUGCCGAAGCUAACGCAUUAAGCACCCCGCCUGGGGAGUACGGCCGCAAGGCUA